RNAcentral lists this non-coding RNA (24 nucleotides) under Arabidopsis thaliana (thale cress). Lineage: Eukaryota; Viridiplantae; Streptophyta; Magnoliopsida; Brassicales; Brassicaceae. The record is from RNAcentral.
AGGAUUGUUCUACUGCGCCGACUC